AUUGAACGCUGGCGGCAUGCCUUACACAUGCAAGUCGAACGGCAGCACGGGUGCUUGCACCUGGUGGCGAGUGGCGAACGGGUGAGUAAUACAUCGGAACGUACCUUAUCGUGGGGGAUAACGCAGCGAAAGUUGCGCUAAUACCGCAUACGCCCUGAGGGGGAAAGCGGGGGACCGUAAGGCCUCGCGCGAUUAGAGCGGCCGAUGUCUGAUUAGCUUGUUGGUGAGGUAAAAGCUCACCAAGGCGAUGAUCAGUAGCUGGUCUGAGAGGACGAUCAGCCACACUGGGACUGAGACACGGCCCAGACUCCUACGGGAGGCAGCAGUGGGGAAUUGUGGACAAUGGGGGCAACCCUGAUCCAGCAAUGCCGCGUGAGUGAAGAAGGCCUUCGGGUUGUAAAGCUCUUUUGUCAGGGAAGAAACAGCAGCUCUAACACAGUCUGCGAAUGACGGUACCUGAGGAAUAAGCACCGGCUAACUACGUGCCAGCCGCCGCAGUAA
This 501-nucleotide ribosomal RNA is filed under the name uncultured bacterium. RNAcentral's name for it is "partial 16S ribosomal RNA". It matches the Rfam family "Bacterial small subunit ribosomal RNA", at positions 30 to 523 of the family's 1533-position model. The record is from RNAcentral.